UACGAAGGGGGCUAGCGUUGCUCGGAAUGACUGGGCGUAAAGGGCGCGUAGGCGGCGCCGCAAGUCGGGCGUGAAAGCCCCGGGCUCAACCCGGGGACUGCGCCCGGGACUGCGGGGCUCGAGGCGAGGAGAGGGCCGCGGAAUUCCCAGUGUAGAGGUGAAAUUCGUAGAUAUUGGGAAGAACACCGGUGGCGAAGGCGGCGGCCUGGCCUCGUACUGACGCUGAGGCGCGACAGCGUGGGGAGCAAACAGG
RNAcentral lists this ribosomal RNA (253 nucleotides) under uncultured bacterium. Its description in RNAcentral is "partial 16S ribosomal RNA". It matches the Rfam family "Bacterial small subunit ribosomal RNA", at positions 524 to 776 of the family's 1533-position model. The record is from RNAcentral.